RNAcentral lists this small nucleolar RNA (88 nucleotides) under Erinaceus europaeus (western European hedgehog). Its description in RNAcentral is "Small nucleolar RNA SNORD100 (ENSEEUG00000022437.1)". Lineage: Eukaryota; Metazoa; Chordata; Mammalia; Eulipotyphla; Erinaceidae. The record is from RNAcentral.
ACUGUACAUGAUGACAACUGGCUCCUUCUACUGAACUGUCAUGAGGAAAAUGCCAAAAAAAAAAAAAAAAAUCAGCAGCACUUACAAU